GACGAACGCUGGCGGCGUGCUUAACACAUGCAAGUCGAACGGAAAGGCCCUGCUUUUGUGGGGUGCUCGAGUGGCGAACGGGUGAGUAACACGUGAGUAACCUGCCCUUGACUUUGGGAUAACUUCAGGAAGCUGGGGCUAAUACCGGAUAGGAGCUCCUGCUGCAUGGUGGGGGUUGGAAAGUUUCGGCGGUUGGGGAUGGACUCGCGGCUUAUCAGCUUGUUGGUGGGGUAGUGGCUUACCAAGGCUUUGACGGGUAGCCGGCCUGAGAGGGUGACCGGCCACAUUGGGGCUGAGAUACGGCCCAGACUCCUACGGGAGGCAGCAGUGGGGAAUAUUGCACAAUGGGCGGAAGCCUGAUGCAGCAACGCCGCGUGCGGGAUGACGGCCUUCGGGUUGUAAACCGCUUUCGCCUGUGACGAAGCGUGAGUGACGGUAAUGGGUAAAGAAGCACCGGCUAACUACGUG
RNAcentral lists this ribosomal RNA (468 nucleotides) under uncultured bacterium. RNAcentral describes it as "partial 16S ribosomal RNA". It matches the Rfam family "Bacterial small subunit ribosomal RNA", at positions 28 to 507 of the family's 1533-position model. The record is from RNAcentral.